UCGCGAAUUUUUCACAAUGGGCGCAAGCCUGAUGAAGCCACGCCGUGUGCGGGAUGAAGGCUCUCUGAGUUGUAAACCGCUGUCAAGUGGAGGGAAACGCGUGGUGUUAACAGCAUCACGUUUGACUGUCCGCUAAAGGAAGCCCCGGCAAAACAUGUGCCAGCAGCCGCGGUAAUACAUGUGGGGCAAGCGUUGUUCGGAAUUACUGGGCAUAAAGGGUGCGUAGGCGGUCUGAUAAGUCGGGCGUGAAAUCCGGUGGCCCAACCAUCGAACUGCGCUUGAUACUGUUGGACUUGAGUGCGUGAGGGGAGACUGGAACGAGUGGUGUAGCGGUGAAAUGCGUAGAUAUCACUCGGAACGCCAACGGCGAAGGCAGGUCUCUGGUACGCAACUGACGCUG
Molecule: ribosomal RNA, 400 nt
Filed under: uncultured bacterium
Lineage: Bacteria
Description: bacterial SSU rRNA
Rfam family: Bacterial small subunit ribosomal RNA
Source: RNAcentral